GGCGCAGGCGGCUUGGUCAGUCUGAAGUGAAAGCCCGGGGCUCAACCCCGGAAUAGCUUUGGAUACUGCCAAACUUGAGUGCGUGAGAGGAGAGUGGAAUUCCUGGUGUAGCGGUGGAAUGCGUAGAUAUCAGGAGGAACACCAAUGGCGAAAGCAGCUCUCUGGCACGUUACUGACGCUGAGGCCCGAAAGCGUGGGGAGCGAACA
RNAcentral lists this ribosomal RNA (207 nucleotides) under uncultured bacterium. Its description in RNAcentral is "partial 16S ribosomal RNA". It matches the Rfam family "Bacterial small subunit ribosomal RNA", at positions 568 to 774 of the family's 1533-position model. The record is from RNAcentral.